Molecule: long non-coding RNA, 353 nt
Filed under: Mytilus galloprovincialis (Mediterranean mussel)
Lineage: Eukaryota; Metazoa; Mollusca; Bivalvia; Mytilida; Mytilidae
Source: RNAcentral
AAACAAAAUAUUAUACGAAACAAUGCAUGACAGUAAGACAUUACCAAUCAGUAUACAUCUUCACUGAAAACUUAUCUUAACAACCCAUUAUUUUCAAUUCUGUAUGUUUUUGGUAAUUUUUUUUUCUUUUCUCUGAAUUUUUAUUGCUAUUUAUUAUGCACUUUCUAUCCAUUAUCCCCUUUUCUGUAAAACCAAUCGUUAUCCUUACACCUAUACAAAGAAUUCAGUUAUAAGCUCCAGAGUAUGAAAAACUCGCAUGACAACUCUUUAAAUUGCUAUUUAAUGUUAUUUCCCUCUUGUGAAAUAGCGAAUUCAGAGGAAAAAUGUAUCAAUGAAAAACCCUUUUUUACAAA